Molecule: non-coding RNA, 585 nt
Organism: Kogia breviceps (pygmy sperm whale)
Lineage: Eukaryota; Metazoa; Chordata; Mammalia; Artiodactyla; Physeteridae
Source: RefSeq, a predicted model, not a curated record
AGCAGAUGUCAGCAGCAAGGACCCGUCCUAAAAGAAGAUGGGAGGCCCAAACACAACACUCUGCAGAGUACAAGGUUUUCAGGAAUGCACAUGUACAAUUAUAGCGGAAAUGCCUAUACCACCCAGAAAACCUGAAUUCACUACCAUGACUCCCUUAUAUGAAACUGAUGGCAUGACUUACAAGACUUACAAGCAUAAAAAAAUGAAUGGAGAGAAUGCACACCAAGUUCAGAAGACUGGUCACUCUCAGGAGGCAGAAAAUGGAAAGGAACUGAAAAAGAAGCAAAUACAGCAACAUGCCAACCCUGGCCUCUCUGGGUGGACCUGAUCUUCUGGGCAAUUUUAAGGGCAAGGAGUGCAAUGCAAGCAGCAGGCUACUCAAUGACUUUGAACCCAGGCCAACGUGGAUGGGGCCUCAGGAGAACUGGAGCUUCCUGUUUCUGUUGGCCUCCUGUUUCUCAUGUCAAGGUGUCUUCUGGGUGGUGAUACAGGCAGCAGGUUUAGUUGCUGAGUUCACUCUGCUACUGGUCUUGUGGCCUGAAUCAAGAUGAAAGGAGAUCUCCAUGUCUCCAGAAGCUUCCUCUU